This 497-nucleotide ribosomal RNA is filed under the name uncultured bacterium. RNAcentral's name for it is "partial 16S ribosomal RNA". It matches the Rfam family "Bacterial small subunit ribosomal RNA", at positions 28 to 507 of the family's 1533-position model. The record is from RNAcentral.
GAUGAACGCUGGCGGCGUGCCUAAUACAUGCAAGUCGAGCGAACAGACGAGGAGCUUGCUCCUCUGACGUUAGCGGCGGACGGGUGAGUAACACGUGGAUAACCCACCUAUAAGACUGGGAUAACUUCGGGAAACCGGAGCUAAUACCGGAUAAUAUAUUGAACCGCAUGGUGCAAUAGUGAAAGACGGGUUUGCUGUCAACUAUCGAUGGAUCCGCGCCGCAUUAGCUAGUUGGUAAGGUAACGGCUUACCAAGGCAACGAUGCGUAGCCGACCGGAGAGGGUGAUAGGCGACACUGGAGGUUGAACGCGGUCAAGACGACUACGGGAGGGAGCAGUAGGGAAUCGGCCGCAAUAGGCGAAAGCCUGGCGGAGCAACGGCGCGUGAGAUAUAAAGGUCUUGGGAUCGUAAAGAUCUGUUAUGGGGGAAGAACAAAUGUGUAAGUAGCUGUGCACGUCUUGACGGUACCUAAUCAGAAAGCCACGGCUAACUACGUG